CCUACGGGAGGCAGCAGUGGGGAAUUUUGGACAAUGGACGCAAGUCUGAUCCAGCCAUGCCGCGUGCGGGAAGAAGGCCUUCGGGUUGUAAACCGCUUUUGUCAGGGAAGAAAAGCUCCGAACUAAUAAUUUGGGGUGAUGACGGUACCUGAAGAAUAAGCACCGGCUAACUACGUG
This 177-nucleotide ribosomal RNA is filed under the name uncultured bacterium. RNAcentral describes it as "partial 16S ribosomal RNA". It matches the Rfam family "Bacterial small subunit ribosomal RNA", at positions 338 to 507 of the family's 1533-position model. The record is from RNAcentral.